GGUGCCGGAUCUGGUACUGAUGGAUCUGGUGCUAUGCGAGGCCCGGAUGUACGGACCCUCUACUUCACACGCACGCCAAGAAAUGCAGGAAGGUAGGAUGAUGUCUGUAUAGUGCAAAAAUCCUUUUGCAAAUAAACCCCUGGAAGAAAAGAAUUUCAAAAAUUCCUUCUUCCCUUUUUCUUUUUCUUUCUUUUCCUCUUUCUUCCCGUUUCCUUUUUCUCUCUUUUACAGGCUACUCAAA
Molecule: long non-coding RNA, 241 nt
Filed under: Phoenix dactylifera (date palm)
Lineage: Eukaryota; Viridiplantae; Streptophyta; Magnoliopsida; Arecales; Arecaceae
Description: long non-coding RNA (PDAC_LNC007945)
Source: RNAcentral